CAGAGCAGGAUGCCCAGCAACCAAAUCUGGCAUUUCUGGUUUCAAAUAGAGUACAUUAAGGUCGAGAUAUCGUUUCAGUCGCCUUAAUACAGAUGGGCGAUUCGAUUGUUGCUCGACAACAU
Picea glauca (white spruce) is the source of this 122-nucleotide non-coding RNA. The record is from Rfam. Lineage: Eukaryota; Viridiplantae; Streptophyta; Pinopsida; Pinales; Pinaceae.